Molecule: long non-coding RNA, 966 nt
Filed under: Equus caballus (horse)
Lineage: Eukaryota; Metazoa; Chordata; Mammalia; Perissodactyla; Equidae
Description: lncRNA (ENSECAG00000053218.1)
Source: RNAcentral
AUUGUGCAGCGCGGCUUCCGUGGACCGUUCCCCUCCGGGAUGGGGGAACAUGGCGGCUCCGUCUCCUGCUGUCCCCAAAGUAACAGCUGAAAUCCUGGAAGAGGAGGAGGGAGGCAUCAGGAGGUAUGAAGGAGAGAGCAGCUCUGCACCAGCUUGUUGCUGCUCAUAUCUGCUUGUCAGAGAACCUAAGUAGCCACUGUGCCUCACCUGAUGGAAGGCAAAGCAGUAUCAAAGGUUUUCAUCCUAGAAGCAGGGAGCCCAUAAGGCUUUGGCACCUGCAGGAAGCCACCCUGAUUGCAGGGCUUCUGGCACUUUCCAGCCUACUGCUACAUAUAAAUCAUCGAUAAACAUGAGAUUGCAAUUAAGAAGAAACAAAGCACUUUGAAUGAGAGACAGCAGAAGAAAAACAGCCCAAUCAAACCUGAAAGGGCCUCAGAUAUUGAAAAUGUGCUUUAGUCUGAGAAAGGAAUGUACUGCUCCACUCAUUUUGCAGACCUAGAAUGUAAAACUGAUAUCUUGCAUAUGUUUAAAGAAAUAAGCGAAUACUGGAAACAUGAACAAGGAAUAAAGGGCUACCAAAAAUGAUCAGAUUUCUUCUUUCUCUUCUCUCACUGAAAGAUUCAGUCCAAAAGCAAUUAGGUGAGGCUAAGCAAUGUAGGUAUUUGUGUUGGAGGAGCUAGGGUGACCCUGCGUUACGUGAUGUCAGAGCUUGAGCAGGGUGAGCAGAGCAGCCACGUAGGGGAAUGGUGGUGGUGAUGGUCUAAUGUAGUGUCAGAGCCCAGUUAGGGUGAGGAGAGCAAUUUCAUCGGAGAGAAGAAUAAUGGCAUUGGCCCAGGAUUUUAGAACCUGAGGGGAUGCUGAGGGUAUCCAUGCAGGGAGGUGGCCUGGCAUGGUGUCUCAUGAUCUGACUGCAGUAAAGAGGGCAGCUACAUGGGUUGGGAAGUAACUGUUACAGGUCAAAUUGUG